CUUUUCUUGUUAGUUUUUGAAGUAUGGCCUGCCCGCUGACUUUUAGUUGAAGGGCCGCGGUAUUUUGCCCGUGCAAAGGUAGCAUAAUCAUUAGUUCUUUAAUUGUGAUCUGGAAUGAAUGGCUUGACGAGAUGCGAGCUGUCUUAAAUUGAAUGUUUUAUUGAAUUUGGUUUUUGAGUUAAAAUUCUUAGAUGUUUUUAUGGGACGAGAAGACCCUAUAGAGUUUGACAUGUUGGCUUGCUUAUUUAUUUGUCGUUUGUUUUGUUUUUGAUAAGUGGGCUUUAUGUUUUGUUGGGGUGAUGAGAGGAAUAUAGUUUAACUCCUCUUGGUUUAGUGGUUAUAUUGAUAUAUAUUUAUUUGAUCCAUUUAUUUUGAUUAUAAGAUUAAAUUACC
This 393-nucleotide ribosomal RNA is filed under the name Heterotermes tenuis. RNAcentral's name for it is "partial large subunit ribosomal RNA". Lineage: Eukaryota; Metazoa; Arthropoda; Insecta; Blattodea; Rhinotermitidae. The record is from RNAcentral.